ACAAUAAUUUAUUGUUUUGCCGCGCAUCUUUGCAUUUCAUUGUGAAGUGAAAUUAUAUUUUUUCUUACAAAAUGCACGCUUUUCUCAAAACUGGUAAGACAACAGGUCUUCCUAAAGUAACUAAUGAAGCAUCUACAUCAGCUGUAAAGGAGAGAAAAUUACCUGCAAGGCCAUGGGUUGAGAAAUACCGUCCCCGUACAGUGGAUGAUGUUGUGGAGCAAGGAGAAGUUGUGGCAGUACUCAAGAGUUCCCUUGAGAGCUGUGAAUUGCCCAAUUUGUUGCUCUACGGGCCUCCCGGAACGGGGAAAACAAGUACAAUCCUUGCGGCAGCACGCCAACUGUUUGGUGAUCUCGCUAAAGAUCGUAUCCUGGAGCUGAAUGCCUCAGAUGAACGUGGAAUUGCUGUUAUUAGAUCAAAAGUGAAGACCUUUGCACAGCUAACGUGUAGCUCAGUGAGACCUGAUGGAAAACCCUGUCCACCGUUCAAGAUUAUUAUCCUCGAUGAAGCUGACUCCAUGACUCAUGCAGCUCAGGCAGCACUCAGGCGUACGAUGGAAAAGGAGAGUGCUACAACACGCUUCUGCCUCGUCUGCAACUAUGUUUCCCGGAUUAUUGAGCCCAUCACUUCGCGAUGCACAAAGUUCCGUUUCAAGUCUCUAGGUCACGAUAAAAUUGUCGAGCGUCUCAAGUUCAUUGCCAAUGAGGAAAAGGUUAAGAUAGACAAUGAUGCUCUGGAAGUGAUUAUUGAAUCCUCCGGUGGAGAUCUCCGACGAGCUAUAACAAUUCUCCAGUCAAGUCAUCGACUUUUUGGGAGUACUGAGAAGAAGAUCACCAAGGAGCACGUCCUGGAGAUUUCUGGUAUUAUUCCACAAAAGUAUUUGGAGGACUUUCUGGAGAUAUGUCGCUCUUGUGACUACUCCAAGCUUGAAAAGUACGUGGAGAAUCUCUCCUAUGAUGCCUACAGUGUGGGUCAACUUCUGGAUCAGUUAAAUGACUACAUUAUCUAUCACAAGCGACUGACCAACAAACAGAAGUGCAUCAUUGGUGAAAAGAUUGCAGAAUGCUCCUUCCGACUACUCAAUGGAGCUUCUGAAUAUUUACAAAUAAUGGAUUUAGGUUGUACAGCUAUUGUGGCAUUCCAGGAGAAUCCCUAAGUAAUUCCAACAAAGGUAUGUUUUCAAUAAAUUUUUCACUUUUUAAUCAACAAAAGAAAAAAAUAACAAAAAAAGGAGAAAAAAAAUUACUCUGCGUUGAUACCACUGCUU
RNA transcript from Lutzomyia longipalpis, 1265 nucleotides. It is a transcript of the gene named replication factor C subunit 4, with no coding region annotated. NCBI's taxonomy places the organism in Eukaryota, Metazoa, Arthropoda, Insecta, Diptera, Psychodidae. The record is from RefSeq and is a predicted model, not a curated record. The transcript has 5 exons.